UUAGGAAAGACCGGUCCAAGCACAGGAGGCGUUGCGCAGGCAAAUCCGCGCAAUAAGCCAAAGGUGUGACGGGGAGCGAAAUUAUAGUAGCGAAGUCCGGAUACAUGCUGUCAAGAAAAGCCGCUAUUGCGCCAUAUGUACCCGUACCGUAAACCGACACAGGUGGAUGAGGAGAGAAUCCUAAGGCCGGCGGGAGAAGUGUUGUUAAGGAACUCGGCAAAAUGGCCCCGUAACUUCGGGAGAAGGGGCGCCCAGAAAUGGGCCGCAGAGAAAAGGCUCAAGCAACUGUUUAGCAAAAACACAGGUCUAUGCGAAACCGAAAGGUGAGGUAUAUGGGCUGACGCCUGCCCGGUGCUGGAAGGUUAAGGGGAGAGGUUAGCCGCAAGGCGAAGCUUUGAACUUAAGCCCCAGUAAACGGCGGCCGUAACUAUAACGGUCCUAAGGUAGCGAAAUUCCUUGUCGGGUAAGUUCCGACCUGCACGAAAGGCGUAAUGAUUUGAGCACUGUCUCGACAACACACCCGGUGAAAUUGAAAUACCAGUGAAGAUGCUGGUUACCUGCGCCAGGACGGAAAGACCCCAUGGAGCUUUACUCUAGUUUGAUACUGGGACCCGGUAUGACAUGUACAGGAUAGGUGGGAGGCAGAGAAUUAAUGACGCCAGUCAUUAAGGAGCCGCUGUUGGGAUACCACCCUUGUGAUGCCAGGUUUCUAACGAGCUGCCGUGAACCGGCAGGCGGACAAUGUCAGGCGGGGAGUUUGACUGGGGCGGUCGCCUCCGAAAGGGUAUCGGAGGCGCUCAAAGGUUCCCUCAGAAUGGUUGGAAACCAUUCGGAGAGUGCAAAGGCAGAAGGGAGCCUGACUGCGACACCGACGGGUGGAGCAGGUACGAAAGUAGGACUUAGUGAUCCGGUGGUAUAAAGUGGGAUUGCCAUCGCUCAACGGAUAAAAGCUACCCUGGGAUAACAGGCUUAUCACUCCCAAGAGUUCACAUCGACGGAGUGGUUUGGCACCUCGAUGUCGGCUCAUCGCAUCCUGGGGCUGGAGUAGGUCCCAAGGGUUGGGCUGUUCGCCCAUUAAAGCGGUACGCGAGCUGGGUCCAGAACGUCGUGAGACAGUUCGGUCCCUAUCCGGCGCGGGCGUAAGAGAUUUGAGAGGAGCUGUCCUUAGUACGAGAGGACCGGGAUGGACGGACCACUGGUGUAUCUGUCGCACCACCAGGUGCACGGCAGAGUAGCCAAGUCCGGACGGGAUAAACGCUGAAGGCAUCUAAGCGUGAAGCCCCCCUCAAGAUGAGAUCUCUCAUUUGAAAGAAGUAAGACCCCUUGAAGACGACGAGGUAGAUAGGGCAGGGGUGGAAGGGCAGUAAUGUCCGGAGCUGACUGUUACUAAUCGGUCGAGGGCUUGACC
RNAcentral lists this ribosomal RNA (1408 nucleotides) under metagenome. RNAcentral describes it as "bacterial LSU rRNA". It matches the Rfam family "Bacterial large subunit ribosomal RNA", at positions 1497 to 2925 of the family's 2925-position model. The record is from RNAcentral.